RNAcentral lists this ribosomal RNA (253 nucleotides) under uncultured bacterium. Its description in RNAcentral is "partial 16S ribosomal RNA". It matches the Rfam family "Bacterial small subunit ribosomal RNA", at positions 524 to 776 of the family's 1533-position model. The record is from RNAcentral.
UACGAGGGGGGCGAGCGUUGUUCGGAAUCACUGGGCGUAAAGAGUGCGUAGGCGGUUAUAAAAGUUAGGAGUGAAAGCCCCAGGCUCAACUUGGGAAUUGCUCUUAAUACUAUAUAACUCGAAUUCGGGAGAGGAUAGCGGAAUUGUCAGUGUAGCAGUGAAAUGCGUAGAUAUUGACAGGAACACCAGUGGCGUAAGCGGCUAUCUGGACCGACAUUGACGCUGAGGCACGAAAGCGUGGGGAUCAAACAGG